AUGGCGGAGGCUGUGCUCCUUGCUCUUGGAAAGACUGGGAAGGUUUUAACUGAUGAGGUUGCCAAGGCCUUGGUGGCCAAGGUGUUAGCAAAAGUUGGUAACCUGAUUGAUCUGAAUGACAAGAUUGGGCAAAUAGAGGUUCAGUUAAAAGCCAUGAACAACAUCAUACGGGAGAUUGGCACAAUGUACCUCACCAAUGAGUUCAUGAAGGGUUGGAUUGGGGAGGUGAGGAAGUUGGCCUACCGCGUUGAGGAUGUGCUGGACAAAUACUCAUAUCACUCUCUUCAAAUGGCAGAAGAAGGUUUUCUGAAGAAGCGUUUCCUCAAAGGAUCACAUUAUCUCCUGGUUUUCAGUCAAAUUACCGAUGAGGUAGUCAAGAUAGAGAAGGACAUCAAGCAAGUUAUCGAGCUCAAGGGGUGGUCGCAACCACCCCAGUAUGUUCAUGACCCGCUUAGUGAGGUGGAAAGACAACGGUCCCAAGAUCGCUUCCCUGAACUUGUGAAAGAUGAAGAUCUGAUUGGAAUUGAAGAUAACAGGAGAAUGCUGACUGAAUGGCUGUACUCGGAUGAGAUGGACGGUAGGGUGAUAACAGUGUCAGGUAUGGGUGGCUUGGGAAAAACAACCCUCACCACAAAUGUGUAUGAACGUGAAAAGGCCAACUUCCAAGCUCAUGCAUGGGUGGUUGUGUCUCAGACCUACACCGUUGAAGCUCUGUUGAGGAAGUUACUCAGGAAGGUUGGUUACACUGAACAACAAGCAUCAUCUAACAUUGACCGGAUGGAUGUGUAUGACUUGAAGGAAGAAAUAAAGCGAACACUUCAAGAUAGGAAAUGUUUGUUCGUCUUGGAUGAUGUCUGGAACCAGGACGUGUACUAUCAACUGCGAGAUGCACUCCAGAAUUCUCGUGAAAGUCGCAUCAUCAUCACAACGCGGAAUAACCAUGUUGCUGCUGUUGCUCACUCGUCACGUCGUAUCGAUCUCAAGCCUUUGGGGGACAAUGACGCAUUUGAACUCUUCUGCAGAAGGGUCUUUUAUAGCAAAAAGGACCAGCAGUGUCCUGAUUAUCUUUUGGAAACUGCUAAAUCUAUAGUUCAUAGGUGUCGGGGACUGCCACUAGCAAUUUUAUCGAUUGGCGGCCUCUUGUCUUCGAGGCCACAGACACAAUAUGAUUGGGAGCAAUUAUACAAUCAGCUUCCAACUGAGCUGUCGAACAAUGAUCAUGUCAAGGCAGUUUUGAAUCUGAGCUACCAUGACCUAUCUGGAGACCUCAGAAACUGCUUCUUGUACUGUAGCUUAUUCUCGGAAGACUACCCAAUGUCACGUGAGACCCUUGCGAGGCUCUGGGUUGCAGAAGGCUUUGUGUUGAGAAAAGGAAAUAGCACCCCAGAGGAGGUGGCCGAGGAAAACCUAAGGAAACUGAUCCACCGCAAUAUGCUUGAAGUCAUGGAUAGAGAUGAACUGGGAAGGGUGAGCACCUGUACGAUGCAUGAUAUUGUGCGAGAGCUGGCUCUUUGUAUUGCAAGGGAGUAG
Molecule: ribosomal RNA, 1530 nt
Filed under: Triticum aestivum (bread wheat)
Lineage: Eukaryota; Viridiplantae; Streptophyta; Magnoliopsida; Poales; Poaceae
Description: partial small subunit ribosomal RNA
Source: RNAcentral